ACGUGCUAAACAGCAAUUUGCUCAACGUUCCCGAGUUCGGAAACUUCAGUACAUAGCUGAGCUAGAAAGGAAUGUACAAGCUUUACAGGCAGAAGGAUCUGAAGUUUCAGCUGAGGUUGAAUUUCUAAACCAGCAAAAUCUUAUUCUAAGCAUGGAGAAUAAAGCUCUUAAGCAGCGUUUAGAAAGUUUAACUCAGGAGCAGCUUAUCAAAUACAUGGAGCAUGAAGUUUUGGAGAGGGAAAUUGGAAGGCUACGAACCUUGUAUCAGCAACAACAGCAUCCACAGUCACAGCAGCAACUAUCUUCCAGCCAUCGCCGAACUAACAGCAGGGACCUUGAAUCCCAGAUUGCAAAUCUUUCCCUGAAACAUAAGGAUGCCAAUUCUGGCCGUGAUCCUGUGACUGGUCUACUCCGCACUUAGAUAAAUGCAUUAACCAGAGAUUUGUUGUGCUACCACUUUGCCUUGGGCUGCCACAUUAACCAUCAUUAUUUUCUCCUUGAGAUGGGAUGAAAACUAGAGGAACUCAGCUUUACCCCUCUCUGCCUGAUUUGCACAAUUUGUUUUUCUGCUGUUUCUUGCCCUUUUUCAUUUGAUAAUAUCUUCAUGUGCACCUGGUAGUCAUUGCUGGAAAUCAGGUUUCAGGCAAGAUGACUGACCGGAGGUGGUAACUUAAAAAGAGGUUCCAUAUUUUGGGCCCUCCUGUAUGUUCAAGUGAUUAUAAUCCAGGAAAUUUGUGUGCUCCACUUCUGAUCCAUUUGGAGUAUCCACUUUGUGGAGUCAAAUGUAGUGAAGGUUUGUUAGGGCUAUAUGCUUAAUUUGUAAUGACAGUAUUCCAAGGAAAUGCUUUAUUGUAAAAUCUGUUAAAUGAAGUUUGUCUUCCCCUAUAUUUUGUUAAAUGAUGAGGAA
RNAcentral lists this unclassified non-coding RNA (907 nucleotides) under Hevea brasiliensis (rubber tree). The record is from RNAcentral. Lineage: Eukaryota; Viridiplantae; Streptophyta; Magnoliopsida; Malpighiales; Euphorbiaceae.